RNAcentral lists this ribosomal RNA (648 nucleotides) under Streptomyces xiamenensis. RNAcentral describes it as "bacterial SSU rRNA". It matches the Rfam family "Bacterial small subunit ribosomal RNA", at positions 231 to 889 of the family's 1533-position model. The record is from RNAcentral. Lineage: Bacteria; Bacillati; Actinomycetota; Actinomycetes; Kitasatosporales; Streptomycetaceae.
UCGCGGCCUAUCAGCUUGUUGGUGGGGUAGUGGCCUACCAAGGCGACGACGGGUAGCCGGCCUGAGAGGGUGACCGGCCACACUGGGACUGAGACACGGCCCAGACUCCUACGGGAGGCAGCAGUGGGGAAUAUUGCACAAUGGGCGAAAGCCUGAUGCAGCGACGCCGCGUGAGGGAUGACGGCCUUCGGGUUGUAAACCUCUUUCAGCAGGGAAGAAGCGAAAGUGACGGUACCUGCAGAAGAAGCACCGGCUAACUACGUGCCAGCAGCCGCGGUAAUACGUAGGGUGCAAGCGUUGUCCGGAAUUAUUGGGCGUAAAGAGCUCGUAGGCGGCCUGUCGCGUCGAUUGUGAAAGCCCAGGGCUUAACCCUGGGUCUGCAGUCGAUACGGGCAGGCUAGAGUUCGGUAGGGGAGAUCGGAAUUCCUGGUGUAGCGGUGAAAUGCGCAGAUAUCAGGAGGAACACCGGUGGCGAAGGCGGAUCUCUGGGCCGAUACUGACGCUGAGGAGCGAAAGCGUGGGGAGCGAACAGGAUUAGAUACCCUGGUAGUCCACGCCGUAAACGGUGGGCACUAGGUGUGGGCAACAUUCCACGUUGUCCGUGCCGCAGCUAACGCAUUAAGUGCCCCGCCUGGGGAGUACGGAGCC